CCUUAGGGGGGAGAAAGCUUAUCAGUGAUCCCAACUAUCAUUACCUCCUAAGAUCUUAUUGAUAAUUUUGAGAAACAAAAUUAGUUUUAGCAUUAUUUUUUGAGCGGGAGAAAACUUAUCAAGGGGGAGAAAACUUGAGUGAUCCCACACAAUAUAAGAGGGAGAAUCAUCGAGGAUCCCGAACGUACGGGGAGGUAGUUCAAGGAACUCUUAUCUAUAUCAAAGGGGGAGAACAUUAAAUGAACCCUUACGUAC
Molecule: long non-coding RNA, 255 nt
Filed under: Hordeum vulgare
Lineage: Eukaryota; Viridiplantae; Streptophyta; Magnoliopsida; Poales; Poaceae
Description: long non-coding RNA (HVUL_LNC018914)
Source: RNAcentral